This 443-nucleotide ribosomal RNA is filed under the name uncultured bacterium. RNAcentral's name for it is "bacterial SSU rRNA". It matches the Rfam family "Bacterial small subunit ribosomal RNA", at positions 30 to 472 of the family's 1533-position model. The record is from RNAcentral.
AUUGAACGCUGGCGGCAUGCUUUACACAUGCAAGUCGAACGGUAACAGGGAGCUUGCUCCGCUGACGAGUGGCGAACGGGUGAGUAAUGCAUCGGAACGUACCCAGUCGUGGGGGAUAACGUAGCGAAAGUUACGCUAAUACCGCAUACGUCCUGAGGGAGAAAGCGGGGGACCGUAAGGCCUCGCGCGAUUGGAGCGGCCGAUGUCGGAUUAGCUAGUUGGUAGGGUAAAGGCCUACCAAGGCGACGAUCCGUAGCGGGUCUGAGAGGAUGAUCCGCCACACUGGGACUGAGACACGGCCCAGACUCCUACGGGAGGCAGCAGUGGGGAAUUUUGGACAAUGGGCGAAAGCCUGAUCCAGCCAUGCCGCGUGAGUGAAGAAGGCCUCGGUGUAAGCUACUUCUAGACGAAAGAAAUACGCAUCUUCUAAUACAGGUAGUGGA